Molecule: transfer RNA, 85 nt
Filed under: Candidatus Effluviviaceae Genus IV sp.
Lineage: Bacteria; Candidatus Effluviviacota; Candidatus Effluviviaceae
Description: tRNA-Leu
Rfam family: tRNA
About the family: Transfer RNA (tRNA) molecules are approximately 80 nucleotides in length. Their secondary structure includes four short double-helical elements and three loops (D, anti-codon, and T loops).
Source: RNAcentral
GCGAGAGUGGCGGAACUGGUAGACGCGCUGGAUUUAGGAUCCAGUAGGGAGACCUGUGGGGGUUCGAGUCCCCCCUCUCGCACCA